GUCGAGCGCCCCUUAGGGGGAGCGGCAGACGGGUGAGUAACGCGUGGGAAUCUACCUUUUGCUACGGAAUAACGCAGGGAAACUUGUGCUAAUACCGUAUGUGUCCUUCGGGAGAAAGAUUUAUCGGCAAGAGAUGAGCCCGCGUUGGAUUAGCUAGUUGGUGGGGUAAAGGCCUACCAAGGCGACGAUCCAUAGCUGGUCUGAGAGGAUGAUCAGCCACAUUGGGACUGAGACACGGCCCAAACUCCUACGGGAGGCAGCAGUGGGGAAUAUUGGACAAUGGGCGCAAGCCUGAUCCAGCCAUGCCGCGUGAGUGAUGAAGGCCCUAGGGUUGUAAAGCUCUUUCACCGGAGAAGAUAAUGACGGUAUCCGGAGAAGAAGCCCCGGCUAACUUCGUGCCAGCAGCCGCGGUAAUACGAAGGGGGCUAGCGUUGUUCGGAAUUACUGGGCGUAAAGCGCACGUAGGCGGAUCGAUCAGUCAGGGGUGAAAUCCCAGGGCUCAACCCUGGAACUGCCUUUGAUACUGUCGAUCUGGAGUAUGGAAGAGGUGAGUGGAAUUCCGAGUGUAGAGGUGAAAUUCGUAGAUAUUCGGAGGAACACCAGUGGCGAAGGCGGCUCACUGGUCCAUUACUGACGCUGAGGUGCGAA
This 648-nucleotide ribosomal RNA is filed under the name Martinezella miluonensis. Its description in RNAcentral is "bacterial SSU rRNA". It matches the Rfam family "Bacterial small subunit ribosomal RNA", at positions 61 to 757 of the family's 1533-position model. The record is from RNAcentral. Lineage: Bacteria; Pseudomonadati; Pseudomonadota; Alphaproteobacteria; Hyphomicrobiales; Rhizobiaceae.